GACGAACGCUGGCGGCGCGCUUAACACAUGCAAGUCGAACGGAAAGGCCUGCUUUCCCUUGUGGCUUGCGGGUACUCGAGUGGCGAACGCGCGAGUAUCACGUGAGUGUUCUGCCCCCAACUUGGGAAUAAGCCUGGGAUACUGGGUCUAAUUACCGAUAGCACUGCAGGGUGGUGCCUGUGGUGGAACACGAUGUUCUAGUAGUUGGGGAUGAGCUCGCGGCCUAUCAGCUUGUUGGUGGGGGAAUGGCCUACCAAGGCGGCGACGGGUAGCCGGGCCGGGGUGGUAGACGGGCACAGUGGGACUGAGAUACGGCCCAGACUCCUACGCGAGGCAGCAGUGGGGAAGAUUGCACGAUGGGCGGAAGCCUGAUGCAGGGACGCCGCGUGGGGGAUGACGGCCUGCGGGUUGUAAACUCCUUUCGACCGCGAGGAAGCCACCUGGUUGGAAGGGUAGUGACGGUAGUGGGAGAAGAAGCACCGGCUAACUACGUG
This 494-nucleotide ribosomal RNA is filed under the name uncultured bacterium. RNAcentral describes it as "partial 16S ribosomal RNA". It matches the Rfam family "Bacterial small subunit ribosomal RNA", at positions 28 to 507 of the family's 1533-position model. The record is from RNAcentral.